Molecule: ribosomal RNA, 459 nt
Filed under: uncultured bacterium
Lineage: Bacteria
Description: partial 16S ribosomal RNA
Rfam family: Bacterial small subunit ribosomal RNA
Source: RNAcentral
CUACGGGGGGCAGCAGUGAGGAAUAUUGGACAAUGGUCGAAAGACUGAUCCAGCCAUGCCGCGUGCAGGAUGAAUGCCCUAUGGGUUGUAAACUGCUUUUAUACGGGAAGAACACCACCCACGUGUGGGUGACUGACGGUACCGUAAGAAUAAGGACCGGCUAACUCCGGGCCAGCAGCCGCGGUAAUACGGAGGGUCCAAGCGUUAUCCGGAAUCAUUGGGUUUAAAGGGUCCGUAGGCGGGCUAUUAAGUCAGAGGUGAAAGUUUGCAGCUCAACUGUAAAAUUGCCUUUGAUACUGGUAGUCUUGAGUUAUAGUGAAGUGGUUAGAAUAUGUGGUGUAGCGGUGAAAUGCAUAGAUAUCACAUAGAAUACCAAUUGCGAAGGCAGAUCACUAACUAUAUACUGACGCUGAUGGACGAAAGCGUGGGGAGCGAACGGGAUUAGAUACCCUCGUAGUC